GAUGAAGAACGCAGCGAAAUGCGAUACUUGGUGUGAAUUGCAGAAUCCCGUGAACCAUCGAGUCUUUGAACGCAAGUUGCGCCCGAAGCCAUUAGACCGAGGGCACGCCUGCCUGGGCGUCACACGUCGUUGCCCCCCCAUCUACUCCUUCGGGAUUGCGGGGGGCGGAUGAUGGCCUCCCGUGCGCCUCGUCGCGCGGUUGGCAUAAAUGCCAAGUCCUCGGCGACACACGCCACGACAAUCGGUGGUUGCGAAACCUCGGUUGCCCGUCGUGUGCGGUCGUCGCGCAUCGAGGGCUCGAAAAAAUUGCCGGGCUCCGGCUCGGCUUUCAACGCGACCCCAGGUCAGGCGGGGUUACCCGCUGAAUUUAAGCAUAUCAAUAAGCGGAGGA
This 391-nucleotide unclassified non-coding RNA is filed under the name soil metagenome. RNAcentral describes it as "partial contains 5.8S ribosomal RNA, internal transcribed spacer 2, and large subunit ribosomal RNA". The stretch from base 1 to 122 matches the Rfam family "5.8S ribosomal RNA", at positions 35 to 154 of the family's 154-position model. The record is from RNAcentral.